This is a long non-coding RNA of Gopherus evgoodei (Goodes thornscrub tortoise), 4014 nucleotides long. RefSeq lists it as uncharacterized. The record is from RefSeq and is a predicted model, not a curated record. The transcript is spliced from 3 exons. NCBI's taxonomy places the organism in Eukaryota, Metazoa, Chordata, Testudines, Testudinidae.
CCAGGGGUUAGGGCAGCAUAACUAUGUUGCUCAGGAAGGGGGGGGUUUCACACCCCUGAAUGAUGUAGCUGGGUCGACCUUAUUUUUUGGGGUAGAUCAGGGCUGAGCUAGCAUGCUAACCACAGCAGUGUAGCCACAACAACAUGGAUCUCAGAGAGGGCUGUGCUCUGGCGGUUAGCUCGUGCUGCCGGCCACUUCCUAAAAAUAUUGCUCUAGCUCAAUCAGAGCUAGCACAUGUACACACCUCCCCGAGCUGGAGCUGACACCUUCGCUGCAGGGUAGACAUCCCCUCGGCCAUAUCCAUGAGAAGCUGGUACCUGGGUGUAAGCGAGAGCGGCCAUCUCGGUCUAGCAUCUUACUAUAUCUGUGACUAGAGGAAAUAAAAGAUGCUCCAGAAGCAUCAAUAGCUUCAGCAGCCCAGGAUAGGUGCUCUUUCGUACUGUUUAUUUUUUUUUCCCCAGAAAGUGACUGUGAAGGUCACUACAGGAUUUUGAAUUUAUUGGGCAUUAUUUAGGGAUUAAAGAAAGAAGCAAUCAAAAUCCCUGGGACAGGCUGCACCCCUUGUGACUGGGGCUUCCAUGGACUAGAAGAACAGAAGCCCUUUAUCCUUUAGAUAGGUCCGGUUUCAUUGUGUUGUGUGGUGAGAGCUGCGAAGUGGCUUGGGGGCAAGUAACAGAGUUCACUACUCUUUCUUGCUCUCUGCUACUUCGUUGUAAUGGCAUGUAUUCCUCAGACUAUGGGAUCUUUAAUGUGGCUGGCAGGGAUCACCGCUGGAUCUUGAAGAACAUUGGCAGACCAGAGAUCUGGAGGGAGCCCGAGACCACCACAGCCAGACACUCUGCCCAACCAACCCAGAGUGCUCUCAGCAAUGUUGCUUAUGUGACUGAAGUGAACACAGCAGCUGAGGGACGUGCACUAAGGAUCACUGCAUAGCUGGAAUUCUUCUAGGAGUAGAGUCAAGUCAAGUAUUGGUCAGUUAUUAGGCAUUAGUUCUACAGCUUGAUUUUGUAUAUGAAAAGGAAGCUUCUCCUUCAUCUCAUCACCCCAAGAGAGGUUGCACACAAUGGGCUUUGAUUUACCCCCAUGGCAUAGAUGUUGCAGUGAUCAUUGAACCCAAGGGGUGGGGGACUCAUGUCUGGGCAGGAAGGAGGGUGGCUGCGGAGGGAAGGACAAUUUUAAUCUCUGUCUGGGGUCUCCAUAGGAACCACACUGGAGGAGGUGGCCUAGGAAAAAAGCUGAAUCUGUCCAUCUCCUGGAUGGUAGUGUCCAGUCCCUUGAGACUCGAUCCACUCCAGGUAGACUGUCAACCUCCGGGGGCAUGGAGAUUGCGUUGCACUAGAAGAACACGGUGGAACAUAGGCAAUGAAUCUAGGACAAUAUACUAGGCCUCUCACCGUGAGGAAUAUACCAGAGCUCCUCACUUGAGGGCCCAAGUGUGUAACCAAGAGAAGAAUUAUUUAUCCCCCCAUUCUUUGGAUGUAAUCGUUUUCUUCUCCUUAGACUAGUUUUGUGGCCUAGAGAUUUACCCCGGAGGAAACAGCUAUGUUUGAGGAUUUUGUUUUGUGUGUCGAUACUUCUUUUAUCAAGAUACAUAGAACAAUAAGCUGCCCUCAAUCCAUCUACUCCGCUUUCCCAGGCAUCACUGGGCAUUGCACCAUGGACCGAGGGCAGCAGCUGGACCUCAGCUCGUGUGGGAAACCAGUACUGACAGAUUAUACAGUCUCCUCAAUAAACUUCGACUACAGCAGUGAAGCAGCCUUUCCCUGAGUCCACAGAGCAGGCCAUAGGAGACGACCAGACGGAAGAAGAAUAGUAAGACCCAGAGAUCUGGAUUUCAUUAUCUGUCAAGUGACAGCUGAGUAGCCACGCUUUCCUCUGGUUAAUGCUAAAGGGAAGAGAAAUAUGCUUGCAGCGGUGUUUGCUCGACAUGUGACUGUGGCAUGAACAAAGAGGAACAAAACAGGAACCGCCCAAGAAAAGACCAGGCCAUAAAUUAAAAAGAGAGCAAAGACAAUGCUUCCAAGGGUUUUAACAAACCAACAGCAACUUCCCCUUGGCUCAGGGAAAACCACGAAGGAAGGAAACACACCAGACUGGGGAAGGAGUGAUGCCAAACUCAGCAGCAAGGAUUGGAAUAAACCUGGGCCUGAUGUGAGAAGAGUCGUUACCAUGGAGAGCUCUCUAGCACCCACCUCGCAGAGACAGUACAAAUGUCCUGAGUGCAGGAAAAGGUUCAGGAAGACUCCCCUGGAAAGCCACGAGGGAGAGAGGCCGUUGGUGUGUAGUGACUGCAGGAAAGGAUUCAUCGAGAAGAUGCCCAUCUGGGGCCUUGGCUGGACAGUGAAGGUUAAGAGACCUUACACCUCCUUGCAGUGAGGGAGGUGCUUCAGCCAGAAGAUCAUUCUGGUCACCUACCAGAAGAUCCACUCCUGGGCAGGGCCCUAUAUCUGCACUGACUGUGGGAAGAGCGUCAUCACCAACAGGAGCGUGCCACACACAGGAGGAGGUACACGGGCAAGCAGCUGUUAGUCCGCGCCCAGUAUGGGAAGAGCUUCACCUGGAAUGAGAACUUCACGAUACACCAGAGGAGCCACACAGGCCAGAGGCCCUACGGCUGCAGGAAGCACUUUGUGCACAAAAAGACCCUUCAGACACAUCAGCUGAUCCAGCUUCAGGAUACUCCUCCAUAGAUGCAGCAGCCAGUGUGGGAAGUGGUUUGUUAAGGUCUCCCUAGCCAUGCCCCAGAGGAUAGAUCAGGACGAACAGCCCUACAUGUGCCCCAGAUAAAGCGAAAGCUUCCUGCGUAAAAAAAACCCUCAAGGUGCACCAGGGACUGCCAUGGGAGACAAGCCACACCAGCACCCCAGCCGGCUCUUACGCCACUGCCGAGAAUCCACAUAAAAGAGCUGGAUGCACAUGACGGACAGGAAGUAAGCCUCGGUGUGGUGAGGGGUACAGUGCUCGAGAGCGCUCAGCUUAGUGAGGGUGAGUCCCACAGCACUGAGAACAACUUCAGUCCCAUCAUAGCGAGAAUCCACCCAGCAGGAGGCUCCUACAUAUGCACUGAGCAUGGGGAACGGUUCCAGACUGCUGAAAACCUCGCAGCCCACCAGACAGCUCACCCAGCCAGGAGGCCACAUGAGAACAGGGACUGUGGAGCCACUCGGGUCAACGGGUAGCUCAGCCAAUAAGUGGUGCACUGGGGAAAAUCACUGGCCGAGAACGGGGAAGGGCUGGCUCUCAGAGGAAGUCGUUAGACCUGGAAGAAAGCCCAGAUGGGGAAGAGGGUGUACAUAUGCACCAGCAUGGGGAGAAGUUCACCUCACCAGACAUGCACUGACCCACAGGCAGGACAGGCCCCACGAAGGCAGCGCCUGCAGCGAAGGCUUCGUUGAGAGGUCGCGGCUCGUGAUACACCAGCAGAGCCACACUGCCGAGACACCCAAUUGGUGCAACGUGUGAGAGAAGAGCUUCAACCAGAAAAUGAACAUCACCCCAGCGCAGCGGUGCCCAGGAGAGGCCUUUUGCCUGUCUUCAGUGUGGGAGGGGCUCACAGAAGGGCUGCAUGGGCGAACUGCCACCCCCGGCUGCCGAGUAAAGGAAGAGCUUCAGUUAGGAGAUGACUGGAGGCUCCAUACUAGGGCAGAGGCUGUUCAUACGCACAGACCCCUUGGGGAGUCUAAAGACACCCAGCAGCCCAACAGAGGGGCAAGGCCUCACAUAGGUCUGGCGUGUGGGAGAAGAGUCACUCAGAAAUCGAGCUUCAACAGGCACCUAGAGUGCAAUAUCAAGUGGUGAUGACAAAGAUCAUUGCCGUUCUUUCUGAUGUCCUGCAGAGCCUGGUUGCUCUGGUGAGAUCCCUCCCAGGGGGUUAGGAUGCGUUGUAGCAGAGAUCUCUGCAACGGACAUCCCCCCUUUGGGCUCUCAUCAAAGCAGCAAGUUACUCAGUGUAAAAUUGCACUGUGUCGUGAUUUCCAUUGCAUAUGAACCAGAUAACCCAGACCCAGCACAGAA